UGUGAAUGAAUCGCCUUUGUCUUGUUGGA
RNAcentral lists this non-coding RNA (29 nucleotides) under Macaca fascicularis (crab-eating macaque). Lineage: Eukaryota; Metazoa; Chordata; Mammalia; Primates; Cercopithecidae. The record is from RNAcentral. RNAcentral also lists the same sequence under 1 other name.